AUUUGUCGUCUUGCUCACUUGAAAUAUUGUCCAAGUAGGCGAAACAGCAGUUAAAUCA
Molecule: regulatory RNA element, 58 nt
Organism: Streptococcus sp. DD13
Lineage: Bacteria; Bacillati; Bacillota; Bacilli; Lactobacillales; Streptococcaceae
Rfam family: Lacto-rpoB RNA
Source: Rfam